Molecule: ribosomal RNA, 508 nt
Filed under: uncultured bacterium
Lineage: Bacteria
Description: partial 16S ribosomal RNA
Rfam family: Bacterial small subunit ribosomal RNA
Source: RNAcentral
GACGAACGCUGGCGGCGUGCUUAACACAUGCAAGUCGAACGGGCCUUGUCCCCUUUUUUUUUGGGGGUGGGGUUAGUGGCGAACGGGUGAGUAACACGUGAGUAACCUGCCCCUCACUUCUGGAUAACCGCUUGAAAGGGUGGCUAAUACGGGGUGUUCUGGCCUGCUCGCAUGGGUGGGUUUGGAAAGAUUCGACCGGUUUUGGUUGUUUUGGUGGGGGAUGGGCUCGCGGCCUAUCAGCUUGUUGGUGGGGUGAUGGCCUGCCAAGGCUUUGACGGGUAGCCGGCCUGAGAGGGUGGGCGGUCACACUGGGACUGAGACACGGCCCAGACUCCUACGGGAGGCAGCAGUGGGGAAUAUUGCACAAUGGGCGCAAGCCUGAUGCAGGGACGCCGCGUGAGGGAUGGAGGCCUUCGGGUUGUGAACCUCUUUCGCCAGUGAAGAAGGUCCUGCUCUUUGUGGUGGGGUUGACGGUAGCUGGGUUAAUGAAGCGCCGGCUAACUACGUG